RNAcentral lists this ribosomal RNA (253 nucleotides) under uncultured bacterium. RNAcentral's name for it is "partial 16S ribosomal RNA". It matches the Rfam family "Bacterial small subunit ribosomal RNA", at positions 524 to 776 of the family's 1533-position model. The record is from RNAcentral.
UACGGGGGGAGCAAGCGCUGUUCGGAUUUACUGGGCGUAAAGGGCGCGUAGGCGGCGUGACAAGUCACUUGUGAAAUCUCCGGGCUUAACUCGGAACGGUCAAGUGAUACUGUCGUGCUAGAGUACAGAAGGGGCAACUGGAAUUCUCGGUGUAGCGGUGAAAUGCGUAGAUAUCGAGAGGAACACCUGCGGCGAAGGCGGGUUGCUGGGCUGAUACUGACGCUGAGGCGCGAAAGCCAGGGGAGCGAACGGG